RNAcentral lists this long non-coding RNA (346 nucleotides) under Populus trichocarpa (black cottonwood). RNAcentral's name for it is "long non-coding RNA (PTRI_LNC000672)". The record is from RNAcentral. Lineage: Eukaryota; Viridiplantae; Streptophyta; Magnoliopsida; Malpighiales; Salicaceae.
CCUCUGAUGCUUUCACCAUCACCGCUGCUGGACCGAAUCACCAUCUCAAGAUGGAAGAUACGCUCUUGGUUUGCCCCUGCUUCGGGUGGGUCUGCCCUUGCUACCCCUCUUAUAUAGCAAUUAGCAGUUAUCCCAAGCAAAUUGUAAAUACUACACUGGCGUGGGCAGAUCAAUAACCACUGGACUCGAUGGCCUCCUCGACAUUCGACAGAAAAAUGAUAUGCUAAAUACACUUACAAGAUACUCGCUACUAAGGUUAUGAAAGAAGGCAACAAAAUCAACAAUAGAAUAUAACUCCAGAUCUAUGAAUAGCAGCGCUCGAUUACUGGAACCAAACAACACCCCU